GAUGAAGAACGCAGCGAAAUGCGAUAAGUAGUGUGAAUUGCAGAAUUCAGUGAAUCAUCGAAUCUUUGAACGCACAUUGCGCCCCUUGGUAUCCCGAGGGGCAUGCCUGUUCGAGCGUCAUUUCACCACUCAAGCCUGGCUUGGUGUUGGGCGACGUUCCCUUUGGGGACGCGCCUCGAAACGCUCGGCGGCGUGGCACCGGCUUUAAGCGUAGCAGAAUCUUUCGCUUUGGAAGUCGGGGCCCCGUCUGCCGGAAGACCUACUCGCAAGGUUGACCUCGGAUCAGGCAGGGAUACCCGCUGAACUUAAGCAUAUCAAUAAGCGGAGGA
This 329-nucleotide unclassified non-coding RNA is filed under the name soil metagenome. RNAcentral describes it as "partial contains 5.8S ribosomal RNA, internal transcribed spacer 2, and large subunit ribosomal RNA". The stretch from base 1 to 120 matches the Rfam family "5.8S ribosomal RNA", at positions 35 to 154 of the family's 154-position model. The record is from RNAcentral.